Canis lupus familiaris (dog) is the source of this 6031-nucleotide long non-coding RNA. RefSeq lists it as uncharacterized. The transcript has 6 exons. The record is from RefSeq and is a predicted model, not a curated record. Lineage: Eukaryota; Metazoa; Chordata; Mammalia; Carnivora; Canidae.
UGCGUGGUCCAGAAUGCUUGGUUACUGACCAUUUCCUUCUACCCCAGCCCAAUGUUAAAAAGGGAAUUUUGCCAUUGUCCGGGGGUGUACAGAGGAGCUAGCAAAGGUGGUUCAAAUGGCAUGGAGAGAUGAAAAGAUACGUCAAGUCUGCCACAGAGCAACGACGACCACAGGACACCUGUGACUCUAAACGAGACAGAGGCAAGGACAGUGGGUCCACCUGACCAGGAGAAGUGGAAAGUGGGAGAUUGGGGGGCUAUUCUUUCAAACUUUCCAUUGGGACAAGGUCUCAGCUCUAGACUUUGCUUGGCCUUGUUUUUCACGGUCUUUUUUUUCUCCCGAAACUUCACGGCAACAUUCAGCUCCAGUGCCGUCUUGUGACCUGAAGGAUGGGAGUCACGCUCUAAACUCAAUAGUAGCUCCUCAGACGGUCUGUGGUGCUAUUGCAGCAAGUCACAACCUGUGGAUUGGUUCAGUGUCUCCUCCUGCCAAGCUUAGGUGUCAAUGCGUGUUGAUUCCAAUGCCUGUGGAACGACUGCAAUGACUCUGGGGUUUCUGACAGAUGGUGGUGCCGUCCAAAGGCACAUGGAUUGCCUAACAAGGACCAAGUUUCCAACGUUAUUUAUUUAGUUUCAGGUGUGUUGAGCUUGAAAACACACAAAGAGGCAGGUGCAUAAACAGAUCCGGAACUCAGGAGAUUAUGUAACGAGUGUAAAGUUUAAGAGCACAGAGGGAUUGGAUUAAAUCCUAUCUCUGCUACACCCGAGAUGUUGACCUUGGGCAAGUUCCUUAAUCUUUAUAUGCCUUGGUUUUCUUAUCUGUUGAAGGGGAAUAAGAAUAUUAAGAUCUACCUCCUAGGGAUGUAAUGAGGACUGGGUACAUUGAGCGUCUGGUGUAAACACUUUGUUAACGGUUCCAUCUUGUUACUCUCCCACAUGAAUCAUUAACAGGCGUUUCUCCAGGAAGAUGUGGGAUUGAGUAAGAUAGCUUGGGAGGACACUUGGCAGAGGUAGAGCAAGAGAGGGCUCAGGACAAAAGACCUGCUCACCUCUAACACAUGACCAUCUGGCAGAGGAGGAUGAGCCCAGGAAAGGUUACAGGGAAAGUUAAGGAAGAAUGAGAGAGGACAGUGAUGUGCCAUGGGGGAAAUGGCCAAGAGGCCAUGUUGGUAAGAAAUCCCAUAAAAACAAAGCUUAAAAAAAGGGGGGGGGGGUGUAUUGCAAUCAAUGAUAUGGAAUUUUUGGAGUCUUCGUGACAACUGUUCGGGGCGUGGGGAUGAAAGGGCCAGAAGCAAGGCCAAAAUCGGCCCUGGAGGGAAUGAGAGUUAGUACAUGCAGACAGCAAGUGUGGACCACUAUCUUGAGAAGCCUGCUCCUGAAAGGAGGAGAGAGAAAAACUGAGGACGUGCAUGCUUGAGCUCGUGUUCUAUUUAAAAGCAAAAAUGUCUCACGCAAAGGGCAUAAUUAGGUAGAUUUGUUAUACGCCACAGGAUGGAAGUGUAUAGAGCCGAUAAAGUAAUGGCUUUUGCUAUUUCUGUUUCUGUUCCUAAUUGCUACUGAGCAAGUCACUGUAAAUCAGAAAAUUUAGGAGAGGCAGCUCUUCUGCGUGGGGACCUUGAAAUGCAAAGAAGCUCUGCUGGAGGCAAAAGAUUUCGAGGACCUGUGGUGCAGUGGACAGGACCCAGCCUGUACCCCGAGGACUCACCCCGAGAUAAACAGGAUAAAUCAUUCUCCUCUACAGUCCUCUCCUACCCUUCCUGGAGCCUCCGCUGUGGAUCGCAUCCAGGAUACUACACUGCAUUUAGCCUCCUAGUCUCCUCUGCACCAUGACAAUUUCUGAGAAUUUCCGUGCUUUUUAUGACCUUGAUGAUUAGAGAUUUUUUUAAGAAUAUCCUUCAACCUGGGUUUGUCUGAUGCUUUCUAAUGAUUAAACUGCACAUACGUGUUCUGGGAAAGAAGUCCUCAGAGCUUUGUGACCUAUGAACUACAAGAUUUGUCCACUCAGUAAGCAUUGAUAUAAAAUAAUAUUUGGAGGAUUAUACGCUCUUUUCUCUACUCUGAAUUUUGUGAAAAAUCACUAAAAAGGAUACGUUAAGAAUAAUGGAAAUUCCCCUUGCUAAUUAGAAGUAGGAGACCAAAAAAGAGAGAAGCUUCUCUAGAGAGAAGCAUGAUACUGAUACUGAUACUGGAAGCAUGAGUUUUACCUGGAUGUCUCAUGUGGUUGGACUGACUGGUGGCAGUGUGUGAAGAAAUCUUACCAUGAAGACCCUCACACAUUUGAGGGGAACUGACUACUCUGUGCCUUGAGCAACAGAACUCCAGAUCUGGGACAUGGCUUGGCAUUUGGAGGGAGGCAGGUCGACGCUAUGCAGACCGCAGGAACUCAGGGACCCAUUUGUGUCUCAAAGCAGUGUGCAGUGUGCUGAAGACACCCUAAAAACAGUAGUUGCCGACGUUCCAUCUACCCUUCCACCCAUUCAGUAGUGGAAAACUAUAAUAAUGAUACAUGAUACUCCCUCUCUGUGGCUUUUGAGCAUUGCCAUUUAACAACAAUCCUAAGACCAAAGAUGACUGAACAGUCAUUUCUCGUAUUUCCCCUGCAUUCAUGGCUAUUCUCUUUGUUAACUGCAAGUAAUAGGGAGCUAUUCCUUGUUUGUUGCUGAGUGUGUAUGUCCCAAACUCCAUUAAUUCUCAACGAGCCCUAGGAUGCAGGCAUUACGGGUGGGACUGUCUCCCUGUUCUGAUGAGGAAAACAUAAAGAUUAGACAAUCUGCCAUAAUGAAAUAUGGGAUGAUGAGAUGUGCUACUAGAUUGGCAGCUGCUUUAAGUCUAUCCAAAUAUUACGUAUAUAUGUACACGUCUGUGUGUAUAUAUAUUAGAUUCCUGAAGGCUCCUUGAAAGCGUAACUAGUCACAAUGAUUUGUGCACACUGGAGGGGUUCUCCCACAUGGAAGGAAGUCGUGUUGCUGUAAAUAGUUUUUUUAAUCCUGUGCUCUGUAUCCCCGUCACUUAGAAAAGGCUUUGUGGAAGACUUGUAGGUUUCUGACUUUGGUAGUACGACGGCCUCCUGCUUGCCCUGUGUCUCCAUCUCCGUGUUCUUCACUCCGUUUGGGCAGACAUCCCUGCUGGGUCCCCCUGAAGUUUCUGCCUGUUUGCAUCUGGCCCAUCUCGGUGUUCACCAGAGCACAGAUCUCCUGGGGAAGCUUUCACCAACCCGGGAUCAGCAUCCUGGCCCUGCUCUGACAAAUUCCCACAAACACGGGCAUAAAGCAAGGCGAGGCCUGCUGGGCAUACCUCCACCAUGGGCCUUGUCACUGCAUACUGUAUUUGCUGGCUGGUCUUUCUGGUUGUCUUCAUGGGAACUCGUAGAAGAUAAGGAUGGAAUGGCAUUUUGGGAAUUCCUGUCUAAUGCCCGCGAGAUGGUGAUACAGGUGUGAAACAUCAGAGCAGGCUGCAAGGAGAGGUAAUGCCUUCAACUGGAGAAAGAUAAUGCUAACCUUGGCAGGGGUCACCUCGAGGAAGAGUCCAGCAGAAAAGUGGAGACAGCAUCAAGACUGAAGACUCUAGAACUUGAGGUUCACAUCUCAGCUGUGUUAUAUAACGGCAUGGCUCAGUUUCCCCACAGUAUCACUGUGAGGGUUAAAUGAGCUAUUGCAUGGAAAAUGCAACAGUGCAGACACACGCUACUAAGCUGGCUCAGCUUUUGCCACUCAAGCCACUGCUGGGGCCAAUACCCAGGGCUGUGAAGGUCACUACUUGGCCACCUCCUUCUUACUUAGUUAUCUUCACAACGAGGCGUCCCUGAAGAUACUGCCUUUGCCGCCCAUCGCCCAGGACUUUCAGCAGAUGCAGUCGCAGGAGCACGGCAAGUGGUGGCUUAGCUUACAUUGUGCCUCAUGCUUCCCUCGCAGGCGAGUCAUUUGGCAUGGAAGCAGACACGGAGGUCCAACGCCUGAUGCCAGCUUUGUGACUGACUUUGACACAGACUUCAGGAUUAGUUCGUUAAUCUCCCUCCUGGAUUAAAUGAAGGUCAUUAUGGAAAUACCCAACAUAAAAGGAUUUGGGGGGAUUUUUAGCAUUAAUUAAUGAUUAUCUCAUUCUUUGAAGCCCCAAGAAGACCAUCUAAAUGCCAAAGUCUAAUAGGUACACAAGGGCUGUAUUAUGUAUGAUGAAGUUUUUAUGCUAACUGAAGAAAUGAGAAAGAAUAAAAGCACUCUAUUUUGAAUACAAUGUGGAGGUAGUGAGUCAUGUCCAAACCAAGUGUAUCCUGUCUUAUCUGAUGCUGAAAUAAGUUACGUUUCCUGCAGAUAACACUCACACACCUAUACGAUCCGUGCAAGGUGGGAAACCCUCAGGAAUAGGUGGCCCCUCGCCUGUGAUCAAUACCAGGUGGCAACUCUAAUGGCACAGCGUAUUCUUUCUCUACAUCUCAGGCUGCUGCAUUAAAAGCAAUUUUCAAUCUCUGAUUUUUCACUGGAAGUGGAAAAAUGCUUACCUAACUGCUUUAUUUGUAAUGCCGUCCUUGCAAAUCCUAUGCUCAAAGUAACUAAAAGGGACAUAAAUAAAAGCAUCAUUGAAAUGUGGUUCUGUCUUCAUCAUAAUCCACUCUUCGAAAUGAAAUAAAAUAAACCCAUGUCUUAAAAUGGUUCAAAAAAUUAUGCGUAAGGAAAAGUGCCAUAUUCAAAGGUUUUUAACCAAAUAAUGUGGCAUUUCAGUCACCAAAUACCAAGGAUAACACAUGGGGGCAGAGAGCAUAAAUAAUUAAAAAAGAAUAAUACUACUUGAAAUUUGUUGGGGGGUUUGCAAUGUAGCCUAACACCAAUCAGGUCAAGAAAAAAAAUCAUUAUUUAACUGUUCACAUUUUUUUUUAAUGUAUGGGUUCAUGAAGUUGUUGAGAGGUAGAAGUAGAAAUAGGAGUUUUUGAAAAUAGGGAUAGAGGCUUUUAUAAAAUUACAUCUGCUCUAAUAAAGAAAAAUAAGAACCUGUAUCACCCGUGAAAAACCUUCAGGAAAAUUCAAAGCCAAGGAUAAUAUGUAGACUAUUCAACCAAUACCUGACACAGGCAGAAAUACAAAUAUUAUGUAAAUGUUGGGUAUCAAGUGUCUCUGGGAUUGAGCUGGCAGUGGGAGGACUUCUGUUAGUGAAAGGGGAUCUGGAACAUUCUUGCGGUGACUCAAAAGAAUACAGUGUCAUGAUCAUAAGUCAUGAAGGACAUGAGAUGAGUUUGAGAAUCUGAGAAAAGCAAGGGAGGGAAUGCAAUCCAGGAUGGGUAGAUACUUAAGAUGUUGAAGGAACAUUUUUAUUCUCCCUGUAGAAAACCAAAACAGAGUUACAGACAGAUGGAAAGACUGUAUGCAAUGACUCUAAAAGAAAAAAAAAAAGGUGAAUGAUCCUAGCAAGUUACUGUGUGAUGAAGAACCAAAGUGAGCACAGAAUUAACCUUGCUGUUAGGAAUGUCACUGGUAUGGUGACAUUACUGACUUUGGAGGGGAAUGACACAUGACCAGAUUUAAUCUUUUUUUUUUUAACAUUUAUUUGGGGUGGGUAAGAACAAUAUCCAAGGUGGUUGUGUGUUUUGUUUGGUUGGUUUUUAUUUAUUUUUUAAAGAAAAGAAGACGUUCUAGAUGCAUAGAAUUGAAGCUUAAGGAAUUUUGACCCCUGCAUGUUCCAAGGUCAAAUUUUAACAUGUCUUCGUAUGGAGGGUCCAGUACCGGGGAUAAUGAAAAAGAUAAUAUUCAAUUUUGUCCUUCCCAACCGCCCUCCCUUGGGUCCACACACACAAGCAAGGGAAAAGGCAAAUAUGAAUCGUUUCCAGCAAUCUGUCCCCUGGAACAAUCACUGAAGACAAUCUGGUGAGGACACAUUGGCAUUUUUAGAGCAAGCAGAAAACUAUUCAAGAUGCUUGUACUGCAGAAUGGGAGGCGAUGAAUUCAACUCUGGUUCAUGUGGCAGCCUUUUCAUGUCCAGGACAGUCAUCCCACACAAGUCUCCCAUCUCUAAUCACCAACCUUCUCCAUUUCUUCCUCUACUCU